RNAcentral lists this ribosomal RNA (789 nucleotides) under uncultured bacterium. RNAcentral describes it as "bacterial SSU rRNA". It matches the Rfam family "Bacterial small subunit ribosomal RNA", at positions 8 to 785 of the family's 1533-position model. The record is from RNAcentral.
AGAGUUUGAUCAUGGCUCAGAGUGAACGCUGGCGGUAGGCCCAACACAUGCAAGUCGAACGGCAGCACAGGGGAGCUUGCUCCCUGGGUGGCGAGUGGCGGACGGGUGAGGAAUGCAUCGGAAUCUACUCUUUCGUGGGGGAUAACGUAGGGAAACUUACGCUAAUACCGCAUACGACCUACGGGUGAAAGCAGGGGACCUUUUAGGCCUUGCGCGAUUGAAUGAGCCGAUGUCCGAUUAGCUGGUUGGCGGGGUAAAAGCCCACCAAGGCGACGAUCGGUAGCUGGUCUGAGAGGAUGAUCGGCCACACUGGGACUGAGACACGGCCCAGACUCCUACGGGAGGCAGCAGUGGGGAAUAUUGGACAAUGGGCGAAAGCCUGAUCCAGCCAUACCGCGUGGGUGAAGAAGGCCUUCGGGUUGUAAAGCCCUUUUGUUGGGAAAGAAAAGCAGCCGGCCAAUACCCGGUUGUCCUGACGGUACCCAAAGAAUAAGCACCGGCUAACUUCGUGCCAGCAGCCGCGGUAAUACGAAGGGUGCAAGCGUUACUCGGAAUUACUGGGCGUAAAGCGUGCGUAGGUGGUUGGUUAAGUCUGUCGUGAAAGCCCUGGGCUCAACCUGGGAACUGCGAUGGAAACUGGCCGACUGGAAUGUGGCAGAGGGUAGCGGAAUUCCUGGUGUAGCAGUGAAAUGCGUAGAUAUCAGGAGGAACAUCCAUGGCGAAGGCAGCUACCUGGGCCAACAUUGACACUGAGGCACGAAAGCGUGGGGAGCAAACAGGAUUAGAUAC